GAUGAAGAACGUAGCGAAAUGCGAUAAGUAAUGUGAAUUGCAGAAUUCAGUGAAUCAUCGAAUCUUUGAACGCACAUUGCGCCCUCUGGUAUUCCGGGGGGCAUGCCUGUUCGAGCGUCAUUACAACCCUCAAGCUUUGCUUGGUAUUGGACAUUGCCAGUUUCUGGCAGGCCUUAAAAUCAGUGGCGGUGCCAUUUGGCUUCAAGCGUAGUAAUUCUUCUCGCUUUGGAGAUCCAAGUGGUUACUUGCCAAUAACCCCCAAUUUUUUCAGGUUGACCUCGGAUCAGGUAGGGAUACCCGCUGAACUUAAGCAUAUCAAUAAGCGGAGGA
Molecule: unclassified non-coding RNA, 330 nt
Filed under: soil metagenome
Description: partial contains 5.8S ribosomal RNA, internal transcribed spacer 2, and large subunit ribosomal RNA
Rfam family: 5.8S ribosomal RNA (bases 1-120)
Source: RNAcentral